UUGAUUCCUAGACAUAGAAAGAGAGAUCCAUGCAGCUCCUCAUGUGAGUGAGAAAUUAAUUCAGCUGUUCCGGAACAAGAGUGAAUUCACCUUUUUGGCCACUGUACAGCAGAAGCCAUCCACUUCAGGAGUGAUGCUGUCCAUUCGAGGACUGGAGCACAGGAUUUAUGAGCGUGUGAUAGACCCUCCAGAUACCAACCUUCCCCCAGGAAUCAAUUUAUGGCUUGGCCAGCGCAACCAAAAGCAUGGCUUAUUC
RNAcentral lists this small RNA (256 nucleotides) under Pongo abelii (Sumatran orangutan). RNAcentral's name for it is "processed transcript". The record is from RNAcentral. Lineage: Eukaryota; Metazoa; Chordata; Mammalia; Primates; Hominidae.